GACGAACGCUGGCGGCGUGCCUAAUACAUGCAAGUCGAACGCUGAAGGAGGAGCUUGCUUCUCCGGAUGAGUUGCGAACGGGUGAGUAACGCGUAGGUAACCUGCCUGGUAGCGGGGGAUAACUAUUGGAAACGAUAGCUAAUACCGCAUAACAGUAGAUAUCGCAUGAUAUCUGCUUGAAAGGUGCAAUUGCAUCACUACCAGAUGGACCUGCGUUGUAUUAGCUAGUUGGUGAGGUAACGGCUCACCAAGGCGACGAUACAUAGCCGACCUGAGAGGGUGAUCGGCCACACUGGGACUGAGACACGGCCCAGACGCCUACGGGAGGCAGCAGUAGGGAAUCUUCGGCAAGGGACGGAAGUCUGACCGAGCAACGCCGCGGGAGUGAAGAAGGGUUUCGGAUCGUAAAGCUCUGUUGUAAGAGAAGAACGAGUGUGAGAGUGGAAAGUUCACACUGUGACGGUAGCUGACCAGAAAGGGACGGCUAACUACGUG
RNAcentral lists this ribosomal RNA (495 nucleotides) under uncultured bacterium. RNAcentral's name for it is "partial 16S ribosomal RNA". It matches the Rfam family "Bacterial small subunit ribosomal RNA", at positions 28 to 507 of the family's 1533-position model. The record is from RNAcentral.